Non-coding RNA from Paramuricea clavata, 576 nucleotides. The record is from the annotation of a GenBank genome assembly. Lineage: Eukaryota; Metazoa; Cnidaria; Anthozoa; Malacalcyonacea; Plexauridae.
AUUAAUUUCGAUUUCAUGAGCAUAUUUUGGUUACACGUUAAGUAUUUUUGUGCUUGAUGAGAUUCAAAAUUUGUUGUAUAUUCAAGCCCGGCUUUUGUGUAAUUUUGGUGAUGACUGGAACAGAAAUAAAGAUAUUUUAAAAACUGGCCGUGGCCUCACGAUAAAACUUUCUACAAAUGUUCUCUGUUUCAUGUACUUUUAUUUGAUAUCUUAGGUAUAAGCGUAAAUAUAGGGGCUCAUACAGUUUAAGAGGUUGUAAAAUGCAUGACUUGCCUCUAUUUUCAUGUAAACAUUCGAAAUUCUUCGACAGCAAAGUAGCAACUGUUUCAGAUCGAAUGCACACGGACAGCCCACCAGAGACAAUGGCAGGGUACUGAAAUAGAUCGUCACUAAAAAAUUCUGUAUGAUUAAUUUAGAUCAUGUCUACUCUUUCAACAUAAAACAGUCAUUUAUUUUGUACAAACAUUUGGCAAUAUUUACACGAUUGUGCCUUUUUGUAAACACGCGUUGCGUGUAUUCCACGCAACUGCGUGGCUCAUUUUACUCGCGCAUGCUCAGACAAAUUUCCCACCUGUU